GACGAACGCUGGCGGCGUGCUUAACACAUGCAAGUCGAACGGAAAGGCGCGGCUUUUGUUGGUUGGUCGAUUGGCGAACGGGUGAGUAACACGUGAGUAACCUGCCCUUGACUUUGGGAGAACUUCAGGAAACUGGGUCUAAUACCGGAUAGAAGCUCCUGCUGCAUGGUGGGCGUUGGAAAGUUUCGGCGGUUGGGGAUGGACUGGAGGGUUAUCAGCUUGUUGGUGGGGUAGGGGCUUACCAAGGUUUUGACGGGUAGCCGGCAUGAGAGGGUGAACGGCCACCUUGGGACUGAGAGACGGACCAGACUCGUACGGGAGGCAGCAGGGGAGAACAUUGCACAGUGGGCGGAAGCCUGAUGCAGCAACGCUGCGUGCGGGAUGCCGGCCUUCGGGUUGUAAACAGCUUUCGCCUGUGACGAAGAGUGAGUGGCGGUAAUGGGUAAAGAAGCACCGGCUAACUACGUG
RNAcentral lists this ribosomal RNA (468 nucleotides) under uncultured bacterium. RNAcentral's name for it is "partial 16S ribosomal RNA". It matches the Rfam family "Bacterial small subunit ribosomal RNA", at positions 28 to 507 of the family's 1533-position model. The record is from RNAcentral.